This is a non-coding RNA of Equus caballus (horse), 3141 nucleotides long. Lineage: Eukaryota; Metazoa; Chordata; Mammalia; Perissodactyla; Equidae. The record is from RefSeq and is a predicted model, not a curated record.
GCAUGUGGCUAAGAAUGAGAGAUGGCACUGUCCCUAGCUCCCAGUCCCAGGGCUCUGGUGCCUCCCUGGGAGGAGCGGGCUGCUAGCGUUUCUCAUGCCCCUGCCUCUGUGUUGCAGAGGCUAAAUUCCAGGCAGCUACAGCCAAGAGGUUAGGGCUUCCCUUCCUCCACCCAACCAGAGGUCAAAGGCUCCUUCUCAGAUUCAGCAGGCCAAGAAAACUGAAGUCCAGGUCACCUUUGCCCGAGCUAGUUUAUAGGGUGGAGGUUCCAUGCGGGGAGAGGCAAGGUGAAAAGGCUACUGCCCUAGCCAGUACCGUGCUCAAAAAGCAGAGGUGUCCCUCUAGAAAAAGCGGGUCACUGUCUCCGCACUCAGCUCCACGGCAGUGGUUCAGAUAUUUUGCCCUAGGAGGAGAGGCAUGACAUACAAACAGAGAUAUCUGAAGUUUUCCCAAAGUAAACUAAUUUGUUUGGAACAGAGUGUGGGGAAGUUCAAACCUAAGGAUACUAUCAAAAAUAAUGGAGAUUUUGGUAGUAAGCGAUUAAGAGGAGGCUAGUAACUUGAUAAGAGCAGCAAGCUCAACCAGAGGUCAGCUAUGUUGUCAGAGGAAACCAGUGAAAGAGACAGCUAGAAAGAGCCCUCCUAGGGUAAAAAAAAAAAAAAAAAAUUAGACUUCCAGUUAAAAAUGGCAAACUGAACACACAUUUAAUUUCGCUACUUCUCAAAAACCCACUGAAAUAAUAAUCAUUUUUAUUUUUUAAGACAAACCUGCAAGGAUGCGAAUAGGAAAGGAAAUCAAUUUUGGAAACUAGAAAACAGAAUGUCUUUAAACUUCUCAAAAAUAACAUGAAAGCUAGAUGGAAUGGAAGAAGGCUUUCAAAAUUAUAAAGGUGAAUUAUUUUUAACCUAAAAUUCUAUACUCCAACUUUGAUUGAUCAAGUUUAAAGGUAGAUUAAAGAAUAAAUCAAGAAAAGCCUUUGAUGCAGGAAAUAGGAGAUCCAACACAGGAUAGAGGCAAAAGGAAUCCCAGGAUGGCAGUGGUGAAAAGAGAUUCCAGCAGGACAGCUGUGUAUUAGGUGUCAGGGCCCUCAGCCCAGACUGGAGCAGGUUGGAAGGUGCUGGAGGAGCCUUUCUCAGGAGGAGAUCAAGUACCAUGCAUACAAACGUCCUGAAAAAAGACUUGAGGGUUGGAUUAGUGUUAAGUACAUAGAAAAGCAAGCAAACAAACAAACGAAAAAUUAAAGCAAUUAUUAUCUCCAGGGAAGACAAAAAGUUAUGCAGGAAAGGAAAUCAUAAUUUUCUAUGUGGUUUUGCUACUCUAUAUGGUAUUUACAUAGUUACAAUAUUGUAGAUACUGAAUACUGAUUUAAACAAGAUUAUAAUAUAAUCUUAUAAUCUGGAAGGAGGAGGGAGAUGGGACUUAAAGUUGUGGAAUGUGGAGUCAGGAAGAAGCAAGCUAAAUCUUCAUCUCCUGUAGUUGAGAGUCAUUAGAUUAUGCCUGAGACCGAAAAACCAAGAAUAGCGAUACAAGCAUGAUGUUUAGAGAACUGAGGUAAAUACCUAAAGAAUCAGCUAAAAGAGAUGAAAGUGCUUGCUUCUGGAGAAAAGGAAGAGUGUGAGACUCCUGUUUUUCAAAACAAACUUUGAAGAAUUAUUUGACUCUUUAAAAACUAUGUGCUUUAUAACUUCCAGCAAAUUGUUUCAGUUGUUUCACUCUCUUCCAUAUUGCAUCACUUCAUUCACUAUGUUCAGUUUUCAGAGUAAAUAGUUUAUAUCAGUACAAAAACGUUAAUUUUGUCUCUGCUUUGAAGGCAUUAUUAUGAAGGCUAGACUGGAUAUUUGGAAAUCCUGCUUUUAAUAAUAACUGCUGCCGUUACUGCGUGUGUGGUAGCGUACCAAGCACUUUUGUACAUUAUCUCCAGUUUCCACAACAGCCGUGCAAAGUAGGUAUUGUUCCAUUUUACAGAUGAGAAACUGACACUCAGAGAAGUUAAAUAAUUUGCAAAUCUUUAGCAGAGCUCCCUGAUCCAAAGCCUUUGCUCUUCCUUUCUGUUAGAUCUCAUCACUUCUUUCUAGGGAUUGAGUUUAAAAGACCUACAAGGGGGAAAAUGUAGCAGUACAAAGAACUCCUUUGGGUGGUAGGGGUGCAGGGGGAGGGGAAGAGAAACGCUGAAGGAUUCAGCAAUGUUGCUAAGUAGCUAUCUACUGACUUAACCAAGCUUAACCCCAAAUCGGAAUUUCCAACUGGUCAUGCGAGCAAAGGAAGCAAUUUUUAAACUCUGGCUAGGAGCCCCUAUGAUGACAAAAAUAAAAGCUUCAUUCUGUUCUUAUUUUGAAAUAAGAGAUGUUUCAGCUGCUUCAGCAUGGCCCUAAACACCCUCGUGAGAACACUAAGAAAACAAGGUUUUGUGUCCAGAGAAGCCCAGGCAUCCUACAUAGCUGAAAAGGAGGGGACAGCUGGGCAUAACUGCUUCCCAAGGGGUAAUCUGGGUCCGAGAUCUUGGACCAGAUGAUCUUGAAGGUCCCUUCUGAAUAAGAUUCUAGGUUGUGUUUAUCUUGGAGUUUAAAUCACUAGGAGCUUUGAAAGUGUUUUGGCCAAUUUCCUUUCUGGAACUGUUGUGUGAUAUAAUCAAGACGUUCACCUGGCUCUUUAAGUCAGUUGGUUGGUUGGCUCCAGGGUGGUGGGUACCGUAUAUGGUCCGGUGAACAACAAGUGUUGUUUACAUUACUUCUUUCUCAAAAGUCAUGGGCCACCGGCAAGUUAAGAAAUGAAAGUGAAAUGAAAUCAGCUGAUUCAUGACGUCAGCCAGCACAAAUGUACCAAAGUUUAAAGAGCUGUUUACUUAGGGACAACAACUGAGAAUGUAAGCAGGUCCAAAGCUCAGGACUGCAUCUAUCUGCCACUGCCCUCUCCAUUGUCCUUGUUUCUGGAGCCUGACAUUAGGAAGCCAGCAAGAAACAAGAAUCAACCGAACCUGAUCUCCUGCUCCUCCUUUUUAUGAGUAUUUCUGUGGGUUCUGCAUCUUCUUUUUGUCCCAGUAGCAGCGAGCCUUCUCCCUCACCCCAGGCAAAGCCACCCCUCAGUAAGGAUCUGAGAAAGUCUCUCACAAAUGGUUCCAGUGGCUUGUGGUGUUUAAGCUGCCG